GAGCCGUUUUACUACCGAUUUGUUUUCGAUGAUAGAGCUUCCAAAUUGACAAUCGGCUCCGUUAAAUAUGAUCUAAACCAUUUAAACUAUUUAGAAAUCAAAUUUCACGCACUUUCGAUAUUGUUCUUUCAUCCAUCAAGUGAACAGAAAAAUAAAUGGCUGAAAAUGAAUACUCUUUAAAAAAUGAUGAUAGGAGUCUUGUAAUAAAGAUUAAGAGUAUAGAUCUUGUUUUAAAUAGUUUAAAGAAUUUUCUAACAAAAAUUCUUUAGAUUUGGAUAUCUUUACGCCGUUAAACGAGAAAACGCCUCUUAUCGACUAUUAAAAUUACAAAUUUUGCAACCCUUUGAUCAUUAGGUAAAUGAUGUCGAAAAGAUUUGAAAUUUUAUUUCUAAACACUUCAAGUGGUAUAGAUCAUGUUCAAUGGAGCCGAUCGUCAAUUUGGAAGUUCUAUCAUUGAAAACAAAUCGGUAGUAAAACGGCUCGUUUACUACCGAUAGUACUCUAGCUCAACUCUCUCUCUCUCUAUAUAUAGUAGAGCUACUAUGCUAUCGAAAGUAUAGAGGAUCUGGUGCUUUCGAUUUUUUGAUUCUUAGAUCAACCCCUUUAAUCAUUUCUUAUCUUUGGAUUAAUACUAUUAUUAGCUUGUAGGGAUUACUCAAUCUUAGGGGUAUUAUUUAAUCCUAGGGGGACCGCAAUCAUCCUAACCAUACAAUUCUUAAUCAAAGGGUCAAAAAUUCAAAAACAUCAAAUCCUCUAUAUUUUCGAUAGCAUAGUAGUUGUACACUAUAUAUAUAUAUAUUAAAAAAUAUAAAAAUAUAAUAUAUUUUAAUUAUAUAUAGGUUGAGUGAAUAAUCUGAGUUUAGUUAAAAUUGGGCCAAUGUUGUUGGCCCAUAAAAAUAAACCCAAUAGACAAAUAAAAGAGCAAAAUUUCACUAAAUUGAUAUAUUUUUCCUUUCUUUCUUUUUUUCACAGAGCUCUAAAUUUUCAAUAUGUUUCUCUCUUUCUUUUUUCUGUCUCUCACCCUAAGUGGCCAAGCCGGAAACCAUCCAAGUUACCAAGUAACAACAUAUGCCCGCCGUUGCCUACCUUGCUAUUAAUUGUAUGCUUGAAAAAAUAUACAGAAUAUUUUUAAAAUAAAAAUUAUUAUUCAUAUAAAAUUUAAAUUUAGUUAUAUAUAAUUGGAUAGUUUAAUCCAAUAUUUAUCUAUAUAAUUUAUUUAUUUUUGACUGCAUAAAUAAAAAUGAAUAAUAUGGAGAUUGAAAGUGGAAGAAAAGAUAUGUGAGGCUGAAAAGAUUAGAUAUUCAACUCAUAAAUUAUUUUUUCUCAUAUUACAAUACUAUAUUUCAUAUAAUUAUUUUGUACUUUGAAUUAUUAGACAUAUUUUUGUAUCAAAUUACAGAUAAUGUUCUAUACAAAUUAAACUAUUAAUCGAU
RNAcentral lists this long non-coding RNA (1433 nucleotides) under Ananas comosus (pineapple). RNAcentral's name for it is "long non-coding RNA (ACOM_LNC012405)". The record is from RNAcentral. Lineage: Eukaryota; Viridiplantae; Streptophyta; Magnoliopsida; Poales; Bromeliaceae.